GAUGAACGCUGGCGGCGUGCAUAACACAUUCAAGUCGAACGGAAUUACAGGAGAGCUUGCUCGAAUGUAAUUUAGUGGCGGACGGGUGAGUAACGCGUGAGCAACCUGCCUCAAACUGGGGAAUAACGCAUCGAAAGAUGUGCUAAUACCGCGUAAGACCACGCUACCGCAUGGUAGAGGGGUCAAAGGAGCAAUCCGGUUUGAGAUGGGCUCGCGUCCGAUUAGCUAGUUGGUGAGAUAACGGCCCACCAAGGCGACGAUCGGUAGCCGACCUGAGAGGUUGAACGGCCACAUUGGGACUGAGACACGGCCCAGACUCCUACGGGAGGCAGCAGUGAGGAAUAUUGGGCAAUGGGCGCAAGCCUGACCCAGCAAUGCCGCGUGAAGGAAGACGGUUUCGGAUUGUAAACUCUUUAAGAGGGACGAUAAUGACGGUACCUCUUGAAUAAGCCAACGGCUAACUACGUAG
This 469-nucleotide ribosomal RNA is filed under the name uncultured bacterium. RNAcentral's name for it is "bacterial SSU rRNA". It matches the Rfam family "Bacterial small subunit ribosomal RNA", at positions 28 to 508 of the family's 1533-position model. The record is from RNAcentral.